This 220-nucleotide unclassified non-coding RNA is filed under the name plant metagenome. Its description in RNAcentral is "partial contains small subunit ribosomal RNA, internal transcribed spacer 1, and 5.8S ribosomal RNA". The record is from RNAcentral.
UUUCCGUAGGUGAACCUGCGGAAGGAUCAUUACAGAGUUCUUUCCCUCACGGGUUGAUCUCCCACCCUUGAAUAGUUAUACCUUGGUUGCUUUGGCAGUCCGUGUAAACACCAUGGGCUCCGGCUUAUGCGUGCCUGCCAGAGUAAACAAACUCUGUUUUUAGUGAUGUCUGAGUACUAUAUAAUAGUUAAAACUUUCAACAACGGAUCUCUUGGUUCUG